AAUUUGCCGCCAUUUUUUACUCUCAUGCUUUGCUUAACCAUCUAUAGUUACAUUAUCUAGGUUGGACUUGUGAUUACUGAUGUAUUUAUUGGGUAAAAAAAAACUGAUACUGGCAACAUUCUCAAGUUGUCAUCCAACAAACCAAGCUAACGGCCGAAUGUGAUCUGCUCGUGUACUGUUCUGUGCUCUUUUCGCUCGUUUUUUUGCGUCGUUGUCAUUGCUGUGAAAGUGUUAUGGUGGUAAAAUUAACUUGGUGAUUGCAAUCGCAAGUAUACCUACUAAAAUAAUGGAAGAAGACACAGAAAACAAAUUGGUAUCCUGGGAUUUGCCGUCAGUAGUCGUCGAGAACUUUAAAACAACAUCAAACCAGAAGAAUUCAAUUUGCUAGCUGCAAAAAUAGUUUCACUUUUCCCAACUGAAAGUAUAUAUACCUACUAUAUGAAAGCUGUGCCAACAUGCAAAUCUGCUUCAAGAAAAUAUGUGCCCGCUAAAGGCACAUUAGUGGACAAGGUUCGAAAUCUCCUGUACAUAUCAGGAGAAAAGUGCAGGGGCUUAAACCCACUUGCUCUAAUAGGGAUUCGGAUACAGAUGUAGAGUCUGUGGAAAAUAAUCAAGGGACUGCUUCAAAUGACGACGCUAUUUGGCUGAAAUAUAAUGAGCUAUGGGACCAAGUUUGUGAAAGGUGGAAUAACACCUUUGAAUUAAGACACAAACAAUUGAAACUGUACAUGAUUUUCUUGAAACCUGGGCCAUUUGAAAAGACAGCAAAGUAGAUACUCUGCAAUGACAACGACGCAAAAAAACGAACGAAAAGAAAAAGAGCACACAAGCAGAUCACAUUCAGCCAUUAGCAUUCAGUUUGUUGGAUGACAACUUGAAAAUGUUCAAAUUCAAAUGGGAUUCAAGUUCAACCCAGGACCUUGUACUUCAUAGGCAGAGUCACUACCCACGAAGAAAGAUACAGAGGCCGUUAAAACACAAAAUAAUUCCGGUGCAGAUUUACCUGCUAUAUUUUUUAAUACCACCCAAAGGCCGGAAAUCUAGGAAAGUCAAAUUCUCAACCACUGAAUCAAUCCAGGGCUUAUUAGUUCAGAUAGAUGACGCCGGAGAUAUCGACAGCGUAAUCGCAGCCCAGAAAGCUAAGGCUGCAGCCCGGAAGGAUACCGUGCAACCCUCCGUGCUCAUACAACGACCGCUACAAAACUUCGCCCAGAUAUACAUCGUUAUUCAUGAUAUCAAAUACCACGUGCAUUCAGCUGCAAAGACGUUCGACUUGUUGUUUAAGAUUUACCACGUUUUUCACGCCAAGUAUCCCCAAGUGUGUGAGCACCUCCACGUAAUUAUUCAAAAAAAGUGUAUCAAAUCCAUACGGCGUAUGAUACAGUAGGUACCACCGUAUAUAGUUGACGUUUUAAACUUAGACGUUUUAAUUUUAUUAUAGUAUAGGAUCCGUACUAAGCUCGAUCUUCACCAACGUGUUAACCAGAUGAAAAUAAGUUUCUGAACAUGUCUCCUCAAUAAAAAUGAAUGGUCAAGAUUAUU
RNAcentral lists this long non-coding RNA (1542 nucleotides) under Leguminivora glycinivorella. RNAcentral's name for it is "uncharacterized LOC125227805, transcript variant X2". The record is from RNAcentral. Lineage: Eukaryota; Metazoa; Arthropoda; Insecta; Lepidoptera; Tortricidae.